ACAAGGGUGUCUUCCCAAGGCAUCCCAGCUUCCCUUUCAUCCACAUGGGAUACUACAGAGCAAUUUCUAGAGUGUAUUUCUUAGCAGAGUGUAGACUUUCAGUCUUCAUAACUUAACAGUUUUUCUCUGUUGCACAGAAAGCAAAUAUUCCACAUUAUCGCAGAAACCUAUGAAAUAUCUUUCUGUUUUGUCAAAUCAGCCACUUAUAAAAAUGUGAGGGAUAUUUCAUUAUAUGCUUCUGUGAUCUUGGUUUUGUCUGGGAUUAUGAAGUGUGUGUAUUGCCUACAUCCACUCUAUACCUUGCAUUAUCUUCAGUGAGCUUUUGCAGAGGUCUUAAAGACUUCCAAAGGAUGAAGGCUGUGCAACCACCUUGAGCAGCUUGUGCCACUACCCCAGUGUCCUCAUGGUGGGAAGUUUCAGGUUCCUUUCAAUACCACAUCCAUGGGACUGGAUAUAACAUGGAAUGAAGACAAUCUGCCUUAUGAUCUAACAAAAAAAGUCAUUUGGAUUCAGCUUCCUUGGGCUUUUUCUGUCUAACGUGGCUUUCGUGUCCCAUUCACCUACUGUCAGAACUCCAUGUAUUGAAUGGCAGCAACUAAUAAAACUAAAAAGAGA
Long non-coding RNA from Vidua chalybeata, 615 nucleotides. RefSeq lists it as uncharacterized. The transcript is spliced from 4 exons. Lineage: Eukaryota; Metazoa; Chordata; Aves; Passeriformes; Viduidae. The record is from RefSeq and is a predicted model, not a curated record.